RNAcentral lists this ribosomal RNA (809 nucleotides) under Bipolaris pluriseptata. RNAcentral's name for it is "LSU rRNA". It matches the Rfam family "Eukaryotic large subunit ribosomal RNA", at positions 82 to 909 of the family's 3401-position model. Lineage: Eukaryota; Fungi; Ascomycota; Dothideomycetes; Pleosporales; Pleosporaceae. RNAcentral also lists the same sequence under 1 other name. The record is from RNAcentral.
AGUAACGGCGAGUGAAGCGGCAACAGCUCAAAUUUGAAAUCUGGCUCUUUCAGAGUCCGAGUUGUAAUUUGCAGAGGGCGCUUUGGCUUUGGCAGCGGUCCAAGUUCCUUGGAACAGGACGUCACAGAGGGUGAGAAUCCCGUACGUGGUCGCUAGCUAUUGCCGUGUAAAGCCCCUUCGACGAGUCGAGUUGUUUGGGAAUGCAGCUCUAAAUGGGAGGUAAAUUUCUUCUAAAGCUAAAUAUUGGCCAGAGACCGAUAGCGCACAAGUAGAGUGAUCGAAAGAUGAAAAGCACUUUGGAAAGAGAGUCAAACAGCACGUGAAAUUGUUGAAAGGGAAGCGCUUGCAGCCAGACUUGCUUGCAGUUGCUCAUCCGGGCUUUUGCCCGGUGCACUCUUCUGCAGGCAGGCCAGCAUCAGUUUGGGCGGUGGGAUAAAGGUCUCUGUCACGUACCUCUCUUCGGGGAGGCCUUAUAGGGGAGACGACAUACCACCAGCCUAGACUGAGGUCCGCGCAUCUGCUAGGAUGCUGGCGUAAUGGCUGUAAGCGGCCCGUCUUGAAACACGGACCAAGGAGUCUAACAUCUAUGCGAGUGUUUGGGUGUCAAGCCCGAGCGCGUAAUGAAAGUGAACGGAGGUGGGAACCCGCAAGGGUGCACCAUCGACCGAUCCUGAAGUUUACGGAAGGAUUUGAGUAAGAGCAUGGCUGUUGGGACCCGAAAGAUGGUGAACUAUGCUUGAAUAGGGUGAAGCCAGAGGAAACUCUGGUGGAGGCUCGCAGCGGUUCUGACGUGCAAAUCGAUCGUCAAA